Molecule: ribosomal RNA, 537 nt
Filed under: uncultured bacterium
Lineage: Bacteria
Description: partial 16S ribosomal RNA
Rfam family: Bacterial small subunit ribosomal RNA
Source: RNAcentral
UAGGGAAUCUUCCACAAUGGACGCAAGUCUGAUGGAGCAACGGCCGCGUGAGUGAAGAAGGUUUUCGGACCGUAAAGCUCUGUUGUUGGUGAAGAAGGAUAGAGGUAGUAACUGGCCUUUAUUUGACGGUAAUCAACCAGAAAGUCACGGCUAACUACGUGCCAGCAGCCGCGGUAAUACGUAGGUGGCAAGCGUUGUCCGGAUUUAUUGGGCGUAAAGCGAGCGCAGGCGGAAGAAUAAGUCUGAUGUGAAAGCCCUCGGCUUAACCGAGGAAUUGCAUCGGAAACUGUUUUUCUUGAGUGCAGAAGAGGAGAGUAGAACUCCAUGUGUAGCGGUGGAAUGCGUAGAUAUAUGGAAGAAUACCAGUGGCGAAGGCGGCUCUCUGGUCUGCAACUGACGCUGAGGCUCGAAAGCAUGGGUAGCGAACAGGAUUAGAUACCCUGGUAGCCCAUGCCGUAAACGAUGAGUGCUAAGUGUUGGGAGGCUUCCGCCUCUCAGUGCUGCAGCUAACGCAUUAAGCACUCCGCCUGGGGGAGU